UUAAUGAACAACAAGGGGAAUAUUUCAGCUACACAAACUAGUUGGGCUGUCGUAUAGUAGGCCUAUCCAUCAUCAAUAGGCAAGGUCUUGAUCAAUAGGGUUAUUUCAUCAUCUUUCAAUCUUGUCUGCCAUUUGUUGUUUUCGGAGGUUUGUUAUGGCGUUUCCAAGGUGUAUGUUGGCGUCUUUGCCCCAUGCAGAGGCUUUGAGGCAGUCAAGGCGUGUCUAUUUUUGGAAUAGCCUAUUCACCAAAACUGUCCUGCAUGAAUAGAGCGAACGAUGGGUUGUCUGAACAUGUUCUUGUUCUGAUUUGGUAAGCAGUCUUUUCACAAGUAAGCUCUUGUCCUCAUGUUGGAAAAUAGCCCAGAGAAGUGCACAUUGUCAAUUUGUAAGCCUGUUGUCCGUUUGCCAACACUUGAACAAGGAGUGUCCUCAUGACCGUAACCUAACCUAACUGUCCAAGAUUUAGUUCAAGCAGGGAACCUCCCUAUAGUUUAAGGGAUCAUGUCCAAAUUUUAACAACCGCCAAAGAGCAUUUCAGCUAAGUACGUUUAUGGAAAUGAAAACCUAGUAUGCUUUAUUUCGUAGAGAUUGACAAUUUUAGAGCUGUGUUAUCUUCAGCUGCCGCCUGAGGAUAUUUUGGUUCAAUUGACAAAAUAAAGUAAUGUGAUUUGCAUAUGUUAUCCAAUAAGAUAGCUCCAUAUUGAUAUGAACAUCAAUGUAUUUGGUGAAAAAGGAGACACUCCUGCGGCUCGUACUUGAGAACACUCCAAAGGCGAACAGUGGCUGGCCUUGUUGUUACAAACAUAGUAUCAGAAAACAACAGCGAAAAUGAAGAGAGGAGCAUCAAAUCUCUUUUUCUUUGCAAUUGUAAUUUUCGCUUGCACAAAAGGUCUCCAAACUAUCAGUUGUUUUCUUGGCGCCAAGGCUGGGAAUGCUGAUCCUGCUUGGACGCAGCUAUCGUGUCCUGAUGGCAUAUCGACGUGUGUCAGUUACGACCAAACUCUUCUUAGUGUGACAUCUCGCGCAUUUUCGUGUGGACCAUGCCAGACGUCGUUGGUGAAGUGCAACGAGUGUGAUACGGACCUCUGUAACAGUGCAAGGACAAUUAUGCCAAACUCCUUCCUGAUAACUUUCGUCUUUACUGUUUAUACUGGGUUGCUGCUUUGUUUGGCUAUGUAAUAUGUCAACAUUAUAAACAGGUCACGGACUACCGUACCGCGUUGAUUAAAGACUCCCACAGCUGAGGCAUGCUAACAGAAAAGGACGUCAUUUACAGACAUGUAAACGUCGCAUCUUGUCGUCUCAAUCCUAUUCACCAGCUAUUUUUAUUGCUCUGUGAAAAAAAGUCAAUAUUGCUCUGCUAUUCUACAAAUUUUGCGAAUGCAAGGAACAACAACAAAGAGCAAAGGCCUACGUGCGUAAACCUGUUUUGCGUCAAGUAGGUUCAAACUUGUACGGUCAUGCAUCGCCUCAAUCGACAUACCUCGAUGCGACUUAUUAUGCUGACUUGACAACGGGAAAAAGCUUAAAAAACUGAAAUAACUUUAAUAAAGGGAAAAAGCCUAAAAAAACUUAAAGGUCAUAUAUCAAGGUUUGAAAACAUUCUUGAUACUCAUGAAAUAUGUUGAGGGUUAAAAAAACAAGAUCCCAGACAUUAAAAAAAUUCUAAUAAUAAAGUCAUUAUUUAGUUAUUUCAAUUUUCAAUUUGAAACUAUUUGAAUUUCCCACCACACACAACUUUAGAUUAGUUCCACAUGUGGCCGCUAGGGAUUUUUUGAUGACGUAGGUCAGGUCAGUCAGAACAAAGCAAGAUGGCUUCCGCAUACAGUUCAGAGAGUGAGAGCAGUGAAUUUGAGGAUGUUUUGGUCGAUACAGAAGGAUAUUUAAACGUUGAGCCAUACAUGUUCGAGCCAUUGAUAUCACUAGAUCAUAAUGAGAGUGAUCAUUCGGACGAAAGUGAUUAGAAUUUGUGGUUAAUCAAUUUGCAUGGCAGACCUGCCGAUAUAGCAAAGAAGACAUUGAUAGAUAUGGUUGCAGAUGCAUAACAUGUAUGAUUUUUGAACAGACUAAUGUUGCACAAUAUUGUUUCGCCUCGUCUGUGUUGUAUCGCCAGUUAUGUCAUGACGCUGAACUACUAUUGAAAAGUGACGGUAUUAUGCACAAUCAUCUUGACGUGACGAUAUAAUGCCGUGCAACGUUAGAUAGGCCUAGAUGUCAGAUGACAAUAAUCUGUCAUUGACAGUGGCUGUCACAGACACUGACCUGUGUCGCUGUCACCUCGCUGUCAGUGUCACCUUGCUAUGGCUGGAACACAAGAAGACACUAUGCGGUAUCACAGGCCCCAAUAGGGCCUACACAUUAUGUAUAACAACCGACCUCAGCAGCCUCGGGCAUUAAAUGCAAUUGACAUGGUUGUGUAGCCACUGUACAGUGGAUGACAUGUGCCAUUUGGGUAGUAUGAGUGUUGUGUGCAUCAGCAGUGUAUAAAUCAUGAAAUAGUGUUCAACUCA
This is a long non-coding RNA of Lineus longissimus, 2510 nucleotides long. RefSeq lists it as uncharacterized. The transcript is spliced from 3 exons. The record is from RefSeq and is a predicted model, not a curated record. NCBI's taxonomy places the organism in Eukaryota, Metazoa, Nemertea, Pilidiophora, Heteronemertea, Lineidae.